GCGUGAAUGGUGUAGCGGUAACAUUGGGUCUUCCCACUUAUGCGAGGUUGGCCUAGCUCGGGGUUCGACUCCCCGUUCACGCA
This is a non-coding RNA of Punctularia strigosozonata HHB-11173 SS5, 83 nucleotides long. The record is from the annotation of a RefSeq genome assembly. NCBI's taxonomy places the organism in Eukaryota, Fungi, Basidiomycota, Agaricomycetes, Corticiales, Punctulariaceae.